Molecule: ribosomal RNA, 253 nt
Filed under: uncultured bacterium
Lineage: Bacteria
Description: partial 16S ribosomal RNA
Rfam family: Bacterial small subunit ribosomal RNA
Source: RNAcentral
UACAGAGGGGGCGAGCGUUGUUCGGAAUUACUGGGCGUAAAGGGUGCGUAGGCGGCGCGGUAAGUCGGGUGUGAAAUCUCGGGGCUUAACUCCGAAACUGCAUUCGAUACUGCCGUGCUUGAGGACUGGAGAGGAGACUGGAAUUUACGGUGUAGCGGUGAAAUGCGUAGAUAUCGGAAGGAACGCCGGUGGCGAAAGCGACGUGCUGGACCUCUUCUGACGCUGAGGCGCGAAAGCCAGGGGAGCAAACGGG